AAAAGAGAAGUGUUUAAAUGCACAUUAGGCUUUGAAUCUAAAGGAGAAAAUUAAAAUUUCCUCUUUUA
RNAcentral lists this transfer RNA (68 nucleotides) under Conchocele cf. bisecta HPD1644. RNAcentral describes it as "tRNA-Gln". Lineage: Eukaryota; Metazoa; Mollusca; Bivalvia; Lucinida; Thyasiridae. The record is from RNAcentral.